Molecule: unclassified non-coding RNA, 326 nt
Filed under: uncultured fungus
Lineage: Eukaryota; Fungi
Also listed under: 1 other name
Description: partial contains 5.8S ribosomal RNA, internal transcribed spacer 2, and large subunit ribosomal RNA
Rfam family: 5.8S ribosomal RNA (bases 1-52)
Source: RNAcentral
AACGCACCUUGCGCUCCUUGGUAUUCCGAGGAGCAUGCCUGUUUGAGUGUCAUGAAACUCUCACCCUUCAACUUUCUUAAUAGUGGUUGCGGGCGUGGACUUGAGCGUUGCUGGUUUUUAUUAACCGGCUCGCUUGAAAUGAAUUAGCAGAUCCUUUUUGUAAUCGGUUCCACUCGACGUGAUAAGUAUUUCGCCGAGGACAUCUUAACGGAUGGCCGAGAUAAAGAAAGUCUUAGAUCCGCUUCUAAUUCUUAGCUUUACGCAAGUAAACUAAACCCAUUUUAUGAUCUGGCCUCAAAUCAGGUAGGACUACCCGCUGAACUUAA